Molecule: ribosomal RNA, 386 nt
Filed under: Pseudophallus brasiliensis
Lineage: Eukaryota; Metazoa; Chordata; Actinopteri; Syngnathiformes; Syngnathidae
Description: partial 12S ribosomal RNA
Rfam family: Bacterial small subunit ribosomal RNA
Source: RNAcentral
GCACGGCCGUAAACAUUGAUGCCCUAUAUACCCCGCAUCCGCCUGGGAACUACAAGCACCGGCUUGAAACCCAAAGGACUUGGCGGUGCUUCAGACCCACCUAGAGGAGCCUGUUCUAGAACUGAUAACCCCCGUUAAACCUCACCCUGCUUUGUCGCGCCCGCCUAUAUACCGCCGUCGUCAGCUUACCUUGUGAAAGAGUACUAGUGAGCAAAAUUGGCACAGCCUAAAACGUCAGGUCGAGGUGUAGUGGAUAGCAGGGGAAGAAAUGGGCUACAUUCAUCCCACGAUGCAUAACGGAAGAUUUAUUGAAAUAAUAAACCUGAAGGAGGAUUUAGCAGUAAGAAGAAAAUAGAGUGUUCUUCUGAAACUGGCUCUGAAGCGCG